Musca domestica (house fly) is the source of this 936-nucleotide long non-coding RNA. RefSeq lists it as uncharacterized. The record is from RefSeq and is a predicted model, not a curated record. Lineage: Eukaryota; Metazoa; Arthropoda; Insecta; Diptera; Muscidae. The transcript is spliced from 2 exons.
UUAGGCGUUAGUCAAUUGUUAUAUUGCAAAUAAACAUGACGUCCAACUUACAACAUAUUAAGAUUUUGUAACUAAAAUACAGUACAUAUUUACAUUUUUCCAUUUUUUUCCAAAUCAAUUAUUUUUGUGUUUCAAUUCCUUUUUGCCCAAAAAAACAUUUUGUACCACUAUAUUUUACAUAUGCGCCACAAUACCCUAGCAAAUAUGGUGUAGUGGGCUAUCGGCAACUCUGGCGUCGCAUGCACCCAAUGCUUUACUACUCUGGUUUGGACUUUCUGGGCCCGAAUAGGCUUAUAUACGAUUAAUCCUGGGAUUGUAGCUGCGGGCGCACGCACUUGGUCCAAAUGAUUCACCACUGCCACAAUGAAUAUGGACUAACUCCAGUUGUAAAUAGAUGUGACAAUAAACUUAUUUAUUUUGCUUCCAUCGAUUCGUGUAGUAGUGAUACAGAGACUAUUUAUUAUAUUAAUUAUUUGUUUGCCAGACAACAACCAAAAGCAACCCAAACGUUGCCUACUAAUCUCAAACGUACCCCACUUAAUCCCAAAGAUUCCUGGCUACAGCUCAACGAAGUAGCCGAACUUUUCAACUUGGAGUUAGAGCCGGAACCGCAUUAACAGAACAAAUCCUUACAACAAUAUCAGCAGUUGCAGCAGUCAUCUAUUGUAUCAGGGGAUUAAUUUUCAUCCAGUUAAACACCACUUGAGGAGAUCCCUUCUAUGUAUGUAAUAUUUUAGUGUCCACAAACAAAUUCUCGGGACUAGAGGAUGAUGACGACGAAUAACAAAUGAUAUUAAAACUAAUAAUUCAAUUUUAUUUAAAUAUGUAUCUAUGUGUGUAAUUACCUCAAUAUAAAUUAUUACGUUGGUUCUAUACAAUAAAUUACACAGUGGCAAAACCUCUUUGUAAUAAUGCCGUUGUACUACCUACUACCAA